AUGGCCUCCACCAAGCUCAGCUUCAAGAGGAUGGACAGCGUUGCCGAGACCAUGCCCGACGCGCUGCGGCAGAGCCGCUACCAGAUGAAGAGAUGCUUCCAGCGCUACGUGUCCAAGGGCCGCAGGCUCCUCAAGAACCAGCAGCUCAUGGAGGAGCUCGAGAGGUCGCUCGACGACAAGGUCGAGAAGGAGAAGCUCGUCGAAGGCUUCCUCGGCUACAUCAUUUGUUCCACCCAGGAAGCGGUAGUCCUGCCACCGUUCGUCGCGUUCGCCGUCAGAAUGAACCCUGGCAUCUGGGAGUACGUCAAGGUUCACGCCGACGAUCUGUCGGUCGAAGGAAUCACGCCGUCCGAGUACCUCAAGUUCAAAGAGACGUUAUACGAUGAGAAAUGGGCCAAGGAUGACAACUCGCUGGAGGUUGAUUUCGGCGCUCUUGACCUCUCAACACCACGUCUGACACUUCCCUCAUCCAUAGGGAACGGGAUGCAGUUCGUCUCCAAGUUCAUGUCUUCGAAGCUGAAUGGCAAGCCUGAAAGCAUGAAGCCGUUGCUCGACUAUUUACUCACUCUGAAUUACCGCGGAGAGAAGCUGAUGGUUAACGACACAAUCGACACGGUGAAUAAGCUUCAAACAGCGCUGCUCCUUGCAGAAGUUUUUGUCAGUGGGCUGCCAAAAUUCACACCAUAUUUGAAAUUUGAACAAAGAUUUCAAGAGUGGGGAUUGGAGAAAGGGUGGGGUGAAAAUGCUGAGACGUGCAAGGAGACGCUGAAUUUCCUAUCUGAAGUGCUCCAGGCGCCGGAUCCUAUCAACAUGGAGAAGUUCUUCAGCAGGGUUCCAUCCAUUUUUAACAUUGUUGUGUUCUCUAUCCAUGGUUACUUUGGCCAAGAGAAGGUUCUAGGCUUGCCAGACACCGGCGGUCAGGUUGUCUACAUCCUGGACCAAGUCAGGUCCAUGGAAGAGGAGCUUCUGCAAAGAAUCAAGCUGCAGGGUUUGCAUAUAACACCAAAGAUUCUUGUGCUAACAAGACUGAUACCAGAUUCCAAAGGUACAAAGUGUAAUGUGGAGCUCGAACCGGUUGAAAACACAAAAUAUUCACACAUACUACGUGUGCCGUUCAAGACUGAAGAUGGGAAGGAUUUGCGCCAGUGGGUUUCCCGGUUUGACAUUUACCCUUACCUAGAGAGAUAUGCCCAGGAUGCCUCUGCCAAAAUUCUUGACAUUCUAGAGGGCAAACCAGACUUGAUCAUUGGCAACUACACUGAUGGCAACUUGGUGGCGUCCCUCAUGGCGAGCAAACUAGGAGUCACACAGGGAACGAUAGCACAUGCUCUCGAAAAGACGAAGUAUGAGGACUCGGAUACCAAGUGGAGAGAGCUGGACCAGAAGUACCACUUCUCCUGUCAAUUCACUGCUGAUAUUAUUGCCAUGAACACUACUGACUUUAUCAUCACUAGCACAUACCAAGAAAUCGCUGGAAGCAAAGAGAAGCCUGGCCAGUAUGAACACCACUAUGCAUUCACAAUGCCCGGCCUUUGCCGCUACGCCACAGGCAUCAAUGUCUUCGACCCGAAGUUCAACAUUGCUGCACCUGGCGCCGAUCAGUCCGUCUACUUCCCCUUCACACAGAAGCAGAAGCGGCUGACAGCUUUACACCCUCAGAUUGAGGAGUUACUGUACAGUAAGGAGGACACAGAUGAACACAUAGGAUAUCUGGCAGACAGAAGUAAGCCAAUCAUCUUCUCGAUGGCGAGGCUGGACAAGGUGAAGAACAUCACUGGACUAGUCGAGUGGUAUGGGCAGAACAAGAAGGUCAGGGACCUUGUGAACCUCGUCGUCGUUGCAGGCCUCCUGAAUGCUGCACAGUCCAAGGACCGAGAAGAGAUAGAUGAGAUCAACAAGAUGCACAAUUUGAUCGACAAGUACCAGCUAAAAGGACAGAUCCGCUGGAUCAAGGCACAGACCGACCGUGUCCGCAAUGGCGAGCUGUACCGUUACAUUGCAGAUACAAAGGGUGCAUUUGUUCAGCCUGCUCUGUAUGAAGCAUUUGGGCUAACAGUCAUCGAGGCGAUGAACUGCGGGCUGCCAACCUUCGCGACAAACCAAGGAGGGCCGGCAGAGAUCAUCGUCGACGGGGUGUCGGGUUUCCACAUAAACCCAAUGAACGGCAGGGAGGCAGGCACCAAGAUUGCAGACUUCUUCCAGAAGUGCAAGGAAGACCCAGGCUACUGGAACAAGAUGUCCACUGCCGGGCUUCAGCGCAUCUACGAAUGCUACACAUGGAAGAUCUAUGCAACCAAGGUGCUGAACAUGGGGUCAAUGUAUGGCUUCUGGAGGACUCUGAACAAGGAAGAGAGAGUGGCCAAGCAACGCUACAUGCAGAUGUUCUACAACCUUCAGUUCAGGAACCUGGUGAAGACCGUCCCCAGAGUAGGGGAGCAGCCUCCAAGACCCGCGACCACGACAGGGGCGGCGGCGGAGCGUAACCAGAUCGUGGCAAGGCCGAGAGAAAGGCAAGUAAAGCCGCAGGGUCGGGUCCAAAGGAUGAUGACCAGCCUGCUCGGGCCGAAGCCGCCGACGUAUGAACAGAACGGCUACAGAUGA
Molecule: ribosomal RNA, 2601 nt
Filed under: Triticum aestivum (bread wheat)
Lineage: Eukaryota; Viridiplantae; Streptophyta; Magnoliopsida; Poales; Poaceae
Description: partial small subunit ribosomal RNA
Source: RNAcentral